This 72-nucleotide transfer RNA is filed under the name Camelus bactrianus (Bactrian camel). It matches the Rfam family "tRNA". Rfam says of the family: Transfer RNA (tRNA) molecules are approximately 80 nucleotides in length. Their secondary structure includes four short double-helical elements and three loops (D, anti-codon, and T loops). Further hydrogen bonds mediate the characteristic L-shaped molecular structure. tRNAs have two regions of fundamental functional importance: the anti-codon, which is responsible for specific mRNA codon recognition, and the 3' end, to which the tRNAs corresponding amino acid is attached (by aminoacyl-tRNA synthetases). tRNAs cope with the degeneracy of the genetic code in two manners: having more than one tRNA (with a specific anti-codon) for a particular amino acid; and 'wobble' base-pairing, i.e. permitting non-standard base-pairing at the 3rd anti-codon position. RNAcentral also lists the same sequence under 1 other name. The record is from Rfam by way of RNAcentral. Lineage: Eukaryota; Metazoa; Chordata; Mammalia; Artiodactyla; Camelidae.
AGGGAUAUAGCCCAGUGGGAGAGCAUGUGCUUAGUAUGCACAAGGUCCUGGGUUUAAUUCCCAGUACCUCCA